UACGGAGGGUGCAAGCGUUGUCCGGAUUUAUUGGGUUUAAAGGGUGCGUAGGUGGCUUUUUAAGUCAGUGGUGAAAUACAGCCGCUCAACGGUUGAGGUGCCAUUGAUACUGAAGAGCUUGAAACAAGUGGAGGCUGCCGGAAUGGAUGGUGUAGCGGUGAAAUGCAUAGAUAUCAUCCAGAACACCGAUUGCGAAGGCAGGUGGCUACGUUUGAUUUGACACUGAGGCACGAAAGCAUGGGGAGCAAACAGG
RNAcentral lists this ribosomal RNA (253 nucleotides) under uncultured bacterium. Its description in RNAcentral is "partial 16S ribosomal RNA". It matches the Rfam family "Bacterial small subunit ribosomal RNA", at positions 524 to 776 of the family's 1533-position model. The record is from RNAcentral.